Perognathus longimembris pacificus (Pacific pocket mouse) is the source of this 599-nucleotide long non-coding RNA. RefSeq lists it as uncharacterized. The transcript is spliced from 3 exons. The record is from RefSeq and is a predicted model, not a curated record. Lineage: Eukaryota; Metazoa; Chordata; Mammalia; Rodentia; Heteromyidae.
AGGCUUCUCAUCCCCCUUCCCCGCCCCCUGCCCUGCUGCCCAGCACCUCCAAGCUGCACAGCUCCAGGGGACUUUGGAGUCAGGAUGGUGCAGGUCACUUCCUCGCUGCCACGCGUCCCUUGCUGCCCAGUCUUUCCCUGGAACAUGAGGAUCCACGUCUGCCAAACCCAAGUCUUUGAUGAAUGAUGUGGACUACAGCUCACACCAGGAUGGUUCCAUGACCAGAGUCCUUUCAUUGCUCACCAGGCCCCUCCUCCCAUGCACAGGCUGCACCAUAGCCCCCCCCCCGCCACCCCCUCCCGCCACGGCCUGUGGCGCACUGUGUUCACUCUUACUGAGAGGCUCUUCCCUGACCAUCAUCAGCUACUCAUCCUGCACAACUCAGGUUUCAUCUGUAGGACAUUUCCAUGAUGCAAGUCCUCCAGGUGGGCGGGUGGCUUCCUCUCGCUUCCUCAGAGCUGGCACUCCUUUCUGACCUAUUGUACCCAUCAUCCCAGCUCCCUGGGAGGUGGGGACCAGUAGGACAGUAGUUUGAGGGGGAAAGUUAGCAAGACUCCAUCUUAACCAGAAGUCUACACACUUGUGGUAGAACAGGCUUG